GCUCAACCGGGGAGGGUCAUUGGAAACUGGGGAACUUGAGUGCAGAAGAGGAGAGUGGAAUUCCACGUGUAGCGGUGAAAUGCGUAGAGAUGUGGAGGAACACCAGUGGCGAAGGCGACUCUCUGGUCUGUAACUGACGCUGAGGCGCGAAAGCGUGGGGAGCGAACAGGAUUAGAUACCCUGGUAGUCCACGCCGUAAACGAUGAGUGCUAAGUGUUAGAGGGUUUCCGCCCUUUAGUGCUGCAGCAAACGCAUUAAGCACUCCGCCUGGGGAGUACGGUCGCAAGACUGAAACUCAAAGGAAUUGACGGGGGCCCGCACAAGCGGUGGAGCAUGUGGUUUAAUUCGAAGCAACGCGAAGAACCUUACCAGGUCUUGACAUCCUCUGACAACCCUAGAGAUAGGGCUUCCCCUUCGGGGGCAGAGUGACAGGUGGUGCAUGGUUGUCGUCAGCUCGUGUCGUGAGAUGUUGGGUUAAGUCCCGCAACGAGCGCAACCCUUGAUCUUAGUUGCCAGCAUUCAGUUGGGCACUCUAAGGUGACUGCCGGUGACAAACCGGAGGAAGGUGGGGAUGACGUCAAAUCAUCAUGCCCCUUAUGACCUGGGCUACACACGUGCUACAAUGGAUGGUACAAAG
This 637-nucleotide ribosomal RNA is filed under the name uncultured bacterium. Its description in RNAcentral is "bacterial SSU rRNA". It matches the Rfam family "Bacterial small subunit ribosomal RNA", at positions 607 to 1244 of the family's 1533-position model. The record is from RNAcentral.